AUUGAACGCUGGCGGCGUGCCUAACACAUGCAAGUCGAGCGGUAACAGGUGUAGCAAUACAUGCUGACGAGCGGCGAACGGGUGAGUAAUGCUUCGGAAUCUACCCAAUGGUGGGGAAUAACCAGCCGAAAGGUUGGCUAAUACCGCAUACGUCCCACGGGAGAAAGCAGGGGAUCGCAAGACCUUGCGCCAAUGGAUGAGCCGAAGUCGGAUUAGCUAGUGGUAGGGUAACGGCCUACCAAGGCGACGAUCCGUAGCUGGUCUGAGAGGACGACCAGCCACACUGGGACUGAGACACGGCCCAGACUCCUACGGGAGGCAGCAGUGGGGAAUAUUGGACAAUGGGGGAAACCCUGAUCCAGCGACGCCGCGUGUGUGAAGAAGGCCUGCGGGUU
RNAcentral lists this ribosomal RNA (395 nucleotides) under uncultured bacterium. RNAcentral's name for it is "bacterial SSU rRNA". It matches the Rfam family "Bacterial small subunit ribosomal RNA", at positions 29 to 424 of the family's 1533-position model. The record is from RNAcentral.